GUCGAGCGGACAGAUGGGAGCUUGCUCCCUGAUGUCAGCGGCGGACGGGUGAGUAACACGUGGGUAACCUGCCUGUAAGACUGGGAUAACUCCGGGAAACCGGGGCUAAUACCGGAUGCUUGUUUGAACCGCAUGGUUCAAACAUAAAAGGUGGCUUCGGCUACCACUUACAGAUGGACCCGCGGCGCAUUAGCUAGUUGGUGAGGUAACGGCUCACCAAGGCAACGAUGCGUAGCCGACCUGAGAGGGUGAUCGGCCACACUGGGACUGAGACACGGCCCAGACUCCUACGGGAGGCAGCAGUAGGGAAUCUUCCGCAAUGGACGAAAGUCUGACGGAGCAACGCCGCGUGAGUGAUGAAGGUUUUCGGAUCGUAAAGCUCUGUUGUUAGGGAAGAACAAGUGCCGUUCGAAUAGGGCGGCACCUUGACGGUACCUAACCAGAAAGCCACGGCUAACUACGUGCCAGCAGCCGCGGUAAUACGUAGGUGGCAAGCGUUGUCCGGAAUUAUUGGGCGUAAAGGGCUCGCAGGCGGUUUCUUAAGUCUGAUGUGAAAGCCCCCGGCUCAACCGGGGAGGGUCAUUGGAAACUGGGGAACUUGAGUGCAGAAGAGGAGAGUGGAAUUCCACGUGUAGCGGUGAAAUGCGUAGAGAUGUGGAGGAACACCAGUGGCGAAAGGCGACUCUCUGGUCUGUAACUGACGCUGAGGAGCGAAAGCGUGGGGAGCGAACAGGAUUAGAUACCCUGGUAGUCCACGCCGUAAACGAUGA
This 770-nucleotide ribosomal RNA is filed under the name Bacillus sp. MZ0367H. RNAcentral describes it as "bacterial SSU rRNA". It matches the Rfam family "Bacterial small subunit ribosomal RNA", at positions 61 to 812 of the family's 1533-position model. Lineage: Bacteria; Bacillati; Bacillota; Bacilli; Caryophanales; Bacillaceae. The record is from RNAcentral.